UGGGGAAUAUUGGACAAUGGGGGCAACCCUGAUCCAGCAAUGCCGCGUGUGUGAAGAAGGUCUUCGGAUUGUAAAGCACUUUCGACGGGGACGAUGAUGACGGUACCCGUAGAAGAAGCCCCGGCUAACUUCGUGCCAGCAGCCGCGGUAAUACGAAGGGGGCUAGCGUUGCUCGGAAUGACUGGGCGUAAAGGGCGUGUAGGCGGUUUACACAGUCAGAUGUGAAAUCCCCGGGCUUAACCUGGGAGCUGCAUUUGAUACGUGUAGACUAGAGUGUGAGAGAGGGUUGUGGAAUUCCCAGUGUAGAGGUGAAAUUCGUAGAUAUUGGGAAGAACACCGGUGGCGAAGGCGGCAACCUGGCUCAUGACUGACGCUGAGGCGCGAAAAGCGUGGGGAGCAAACAGGAUUAGA
This 411-nucleotide ribosomal RNA is filed under the name uncultured bacterium. Its description in RNAcentral is "partial 16S ribosomal RNA". It matches the Rfam family "Bacterial small subunit ribosomal RNA", at positions 355 to 782 of the family's 1533-position model. The record is from RNAcentral.